Molecule: non-coding RNA, 131 nt
Organism: Pimephales promelas (fathead minnow)
Lineage: Eukaryota; Metazoa; Chordata; Actinopteri; Cypriniformes; Leuciscidae
Source: RefSeq, a predicted model, not a curated record
ACCCACACUGUAUAUGAAGAGAUAAUGGAUUGUUGUCCCGAGAUCUAAUUGCUGAACCAAGAUUCAACACUGUCAUACUGUGUUUCAGCAAUAAAGAAACCUGAUCCAAGAGAUUGUCCGUGGUGAUGUGU